UUCAGCACAUGUUAUAAUAAUACAAUGCACUACUUCAUGAAGUGUUGUAUAUUUUGAAUUCGAAAUUCAAACUGUAAGUAACGACCAAAAUCCUAGAGCAAUAAUUAAAACUAAUUCGUAGUAUGUCGGUCGAAGGCCGGCCGCUAGAGCGCCGCCUCAUUAACGCCGCGAAUAGCCUGAUUGCUCAGAUGCGCCGCCUCCUUU
Molecule: long non-coding RNA, 204 nt
Filed under: Lathyrus oleraceus (garden pea)
Lineage: Eukaryota; Viridiplantae; Streptophyta; Magnoliopsida; Fabales; Fabaceae
Description: Pisum sativum (pea) long non-coding RNA (PSAT_LNC014510)
Source: RNAcentral